This 694-nucleotide ribosomal RNA is filed under the name uncultured bacterium. RNAcentral describes it as "bacterial SSU rRNA". It matches the Rfam family "Bacterial small subunit ribosomal RNA", at positions 32 to 715 of the family's 1533-position model. The record is from RNAcentral.
AACGCUAGCUACAGGCUUAACACAUGCAAGUCGAGGGGCAGCAUGGUCUUAGCUUGCUAAGACUGAUGGCGACCGGCGCACGGGUGAGUAACACGUAUCCAACCUGCCGUCUACUCUUGGACAGCCUUCUGAAAGGAAGAUUAAUACAAGAUGGCAUCAUGAGUCCGCAUGUUCACAUGAUUAAAGGUAUUCCGGUAGACGAUGGGGAUGCGUUCCAUUAGAUAGUAGGCGGGGUAACGGCCCACCUAGUCUUCGAUGGAUAGGGGUUCUGAGAGGAAGGUCCCCCACAUUGGAACUGAGACACGGUCCAAACUCCUACGGGAGGCAGCAGUGAGGAAUAUUGGUCAAUGGGCGAGAGCCUGAACCAGCCAAGUAGCGUGAAGGAUGACUGCCCUAUGGGUUGUAAACUUCUUUUAUAAAGGAAUAAAGUCGGGUAUGGAUACCCGUUUGCAUGUACUUUAUGAAUAAGGAUCGGCUAACUCCGUGCCAGCAGCCGCGGUAAUACGGAGGAUCCGAGCGUUAUCCGGAUUUAUUGGGUUUAAAGGGAGCGUAGGCCGGAGAUUAAGCGUGUUGUGAAAUGUAGACGCUCAACGUCUGCACUGCAGCGCGAACUGGUUUCCUUGAGUACGCACAAAGUGGGCGGAAUUCGUGGUGUAGCGGUGAAAUGCUUAGAUAUCACGAAGAACUCCGAUUG